RNAcentral lists this ribosomal RNA (1714 nucleotides) under Triticum aestivum (bread wheat). RNAcentral's name for it is "partial small subunit ribosomal RNA". The record is from RNAcentral. Lineage: Eukaryota; Viridiplantae; Streptophyta; Magnoliopsida; Poales; Poaceae.
GGAGGUGCUUCGUAGAAAAUUCCACCGCUUUGUGCACUACGACCUUCAAGUUUGGUACUAUCGCGUCCGCUUCCUUGCUGUUUCUCACGGAGAAUCUUACCCCUUCCAAGCCUUCCCGUGAGAGGAAAGUUGCAAACGCGGAUUUAGACUCCGUAUGCCAAUUCUACCUGUUUUGUGAGGUUGUAUGCAAACGCUACCUAGCUAUUGAAACUAUCGACGGACAUUAUUGUACGGGCUAAAAUCUGGACUAGAGGACAUUUGCGGCGGAUGGACAGGAGCGAGGAAGAGACGAUCAUGAGUGAUUCAGACCCUCUCCUCGAUAGGAAAGAUCAGUCAGGCUCAUUGCUCCAGCUCUCGCCACCACAGCCGGCAACCGUGACCGUGCUGGAGAUUGAGGAUGAGGAGACCGAUGGUUCUUAUGCCGCAUGCUGCCGCAUUUGCCUUGAGGCUGAGUCGGAGAUAGGUGAUGAGCUAAUAUCACCUUGCAUGUGCAAGGGAACUCAGCAGUUUGUUCACCGUUCAUGCCUAGACCAUUGGAGGUCUGUGAAGGAAGGAUUUGCAUUCUCACACUGCACAACAUGCAAAGCUCAGUUCCAUCUUCGAGUGGAAACUCUGGAAGAUAACUCAUGGCGCAAAAUAAAGUUCCGGCUCUUCGUGGCAAGAGAUGUUAUACUUGGUUUUCUUGCAGUUCAAAUUACUAUUGCUAUCAUUAGUGCAGUUGCAUACUUUCUAGACAGGGACGGAAGUUUCCGGAAUAGUUUCAGUGAUGGUUGGGAUCGUAUCUUGUCAAAGCAUCCAAUACCGUUCUACUACUGCAUAGGGGUUGUGGUUUUCUUUGUGCUGCUUGGAUUUUUCGGGUUGAUAGUGCACUGCUCAUCCUUGAACGACAACCAAGAUCCGUGCUUAGCUGGGUGCCGGAACUGCUGCUAUGGUUGGGGCAUCCUGGACUGUCUCCCUGCUUCUUUGGAGGCCUGCUUUGCCCUGGUGGUGCUCUUCAUCGUUGUGUUCGCUAUCCUUGGGAUUGCAUACGGCUUCCUCGCGGCGACUAUGGCCGUCCAGAGGAUCUGGCAGAGACAUUAUCACAUCCUGACGAAAAGAGAGCUCACAAAGGAAUACGUAGUGGAAGAUCUGCAUGGCAGCUACUCGGCCCCGAAGCUUGAGCCAGAGCAUGAGGAGCGGCUGAAAAUGCUGAAGCUACUGUAGGUGGCCCAUCCGCAUCAAGACCACUGUAAAUCCCGCCUGUAUUGCUGUGGGCCGAAAGAGUGUUUGGUGAGUUGGAUCGACUGUGAAAGAAAAUGCUGACGCGAUUGAAACUUGUAGCUUUCUGAAUUUGGUCCAUGCACCUGGUUCUGAUCUACUAGUUUUCUUAUUCCACUACCUUGCUGUUGCACACAUUACAGUUUUAUGCUCCAUACAUCUUUCACAACAAAAUAUGUAAGUUUGAGGCUGGUCUGAAAGUCAGCGAAGACGGUUCUCGGGAGGCCUUUGAUGAAGACAUAGGCAAACUGCGACGCGGUCGGCGCGUGGAGAACACGAACUCACCGAGGGAAACACGCUCGUGGCUGAAGCGAAGAUCGAUUUCCACGUGCUUGGUGAGUUGGUGCUGAACGAGAUUGCUUGACAUAUACUGUACAUGGCGGUCAUGUUGUCACACGUAGCUAUACAUGGCGUUCACGUCAUGUGGCGAGGCGGCGGCUGACGAAUCUUGGUGAGA